AAGUCGUAACAAGGUUUCCGUAGGUGAACCUGCGGAAGGAUCAUUAACAACGUAUCCACGUUUCAAACCAACUUGUGAACCUGUUAUCUCCCUUUGCAGAGGGAAUUUGGAGCUGGUUGCUCGCAUGGAUGGGAUGAAUUGUUCUGUUCUUGGUAAAACAAGAUAGUUCAGUUUGUGGCGGCAACGGUUGUACUGCAUUUCUGGAAUCGAAAGAGGAAGGAAAGUAACACUUUGUGAACUCUGCAAAGGCUUUUGUUCUCUAUUGUAGCCUCAACAUUCAUAGGCAAAGUAGAGGACGUAUCCUGUUAAUAAUAACUAUUUCAUCCUUUGUACCAACCAGUUGAUUUUAUUCUUGUAGUCAUUAUGAAAAUAAUGUUCUACUUGUUCUUAAUUGAACACAAAUUACAACUCUUAGCGAUGGAUGUCUCGGUUCUC
RNAcentral lists this unclassified non-coding RNA (435 nucleotides) under fungal sp. RNAcentral describes it as "partial internal transcribed spacer region". The stretch from base 1 to 46 matches the Rfam family "Eukaryotic small subunit ribosomal RNA", at positions 1786 to 1831 of the family's 1831-position model. Lineage: Eukaryota; Fungi. The record is from RNAcentral.